This 468-nucleotide ribosomal RNA is filed under the name uncultured bacterium. Its description in RNAcentral is "partial 16S ribosomal RNA". It matches the Rfam family "Bacterial small subunit ribosomal RNA", at positions 28 to 507 of the family's 1533-position model. The record is from RNAcentral.
GACGAACGCUGGCGGCGUGCUUAACACAUGCAAGUCGAACGGAAAGGCCCUGCUUUUGUGGGGUGCUCGAGUGGCGAACGGGUGAGUAACACGUGAGUAACCUGCCCUUGACUUUGGGAUAACUUCAGGCAACUGGGGCUAAUACCGGAUAGGAGCUCCUGCUGCAUGGUGGGGGUUGGAAAGUUUCGGCGGUUGGGGAUGGACUCGCGGCUUAUCAGCUUGUUGGUGGGGUAGUGGCUUACCAAGGCUUUGACGGGUAGCCGGCCUGAGAGGGUGACCGGCCACAUUGGGACUGAGAUACGGCCCAGACUCCUACGGGAGGCAGCAGUGGGGAAGAUUGCACAAUGGGCGGAAGCCUGAUGCAGCAACGCCGCGUGCGGGAUGACGUCCUUCGGGUUGUAAACCGCUUUCGCCUGUGACGAGGCGUGAGUGACGGUAAUGGGUAAAGAAGCACCGGCUAACUACGUG